GCGAACGGGUGAGUAACACGUGAGUAACCUGCCCUUAACUCUGGGAUAAGCCUUGGAAACGGGGUCUAAUACUGGAUAUUGACUUUUCCUCGCAUGGGGAUUGGUUGAAAGAUUUAUUGGUUUUGGAUGGACUCGCGGCCUAUCAGCUUGUUGGUGAGGUAAUGGCUCACCAAGGCGACGACGGGUAGCCGGCCUGAGAGGGUGACCGGCCACACUGGGACUGAGACACGGCCCAGACUCCUACGGGAGGCAGCAGUGGGGAAUAUUGCACAAUGGGCGAAAGCCUGAUGCAGCGACGCCGCGUGAGGGAUGACGGCCUUCGGGUUGUAAACCUCUUUCAGUAGGGAACAAGGCCAGUGUUUAGCUGGUUGAGGGUACUUGCAGAAGAAGCGCCGGCUAACUACGUGCCAGCAGCCGCGGUAAUACGUAGGGCGCAAGCGUUAUCCGGAAUUAUUGGGCGUAAAGAGCUCGUAGGCGGUUUGUCGCGUCUGCCGUGAAAGUCCGGGGCUCAACCCCGGAUCUGCGGUGGGUACGGGCAGACUAGAGUGAUGUAGGGGAGACUGGAAUUCCUGGUGUAGCGGUGAAAUGCGCAGAUAUCAGGAGGAACACCGAUGGCGAAGGCAGGUCUCUGGGCAUUAACUGACGCUGAGGAGCGAAAGCAUGGGGAGCGAACAGGAUUAGAUACCCUGGUAGUCCAUGCCGUAAACGUUGGGCACUAGGUGUGGGGGACAUUCCACGUUUUCCGCGCCGUAGCUAACGCAUUAAGUGCCCCGCCUGGGGAGUACGGCCGCAAGGCUAAAACUCAAAGGAAUUGACGGGGGCCCGCACAAGCGGCGGAGCAUGCGGAUUAAUUCGAUGCAACGCGAAGAACCUUACCAAGGCUUGACAUGAACUGGAAACACCUGGAAACAGGUGCCCCGCUUGCGGUCGGUUUACAGGUGGUGCAUGGUUGUCGUCAGCUCGUGUCGUGAGAUGUUGGGUUAAGUCCCGCAACGAGCGCAACCCUCGUUCUAUGUUGCCAGCACGUUAUGGUGGGGACUCAUAGGAGACUGCCGGGGUCAACUCCGAAGGAAGGUGAGGACGACGUCAAAUCAUCAUGCUA
Molecule: ribosomal RNA, 1102 nt
Filed under: Arthrobacter sp.
Lineage: Bacteria; Bacillati; Actinomycetota; Actinomycetes; Micrococcales; Micrococcaceae
Description: bacterial SSU rRNA
Rfam family: Bacterial small subunit ribosomal RNA
Source: RNAcentral